RNAcentral lists this ribosomal RNA (406 nucleotides) under uncultured Zavarzinella sp. Its description in RNAcentral is "bacterial SSU rRNA". It matches the Rfam family "Bacterial small subunit ribosomal RNA", at positions 356 to 777 of the family's 1533-position model. Lineage: Bacteria; Pseudomonadati; Planctomycetota; Planctomycetia; Gemmatales; Gemmataceae. The record is from RNAcentral.
CGAGGAUCUUCGUCAAUGGGCGAAAGCCUGAACGAGCGAUGCCGCGUGUGCGAUGAAGGCCUUCGGGUUGUAAAGCACAAAAGAGAUGAGAAAGGGCAACUUGAUCGAAUCUCAGUAAGCUCGGGCUAAGUUCGUGCCAGCAGCCGCGGUAAGACGAACCGAGCGAACGUUGUUCGGAAUCACUGGGCUUAAAGGGCGCGUAGGCGGGUGGCUAAGUCUGUGGUGAAAUCCUCCAGCUCAACUGGAGAACUGCCAUGGAUACUGGUCGUCUCGAGGAAGGUAGGGGUACGUGGAACUAUCGGUGGAGCGGUGAAAUGCGUUGAUAUCGAUAGGAACUCCGGUGGCGAAGGCGACGUACUGGACCUUUUCUGACGCUGAGGCGCGAAAGCCAGGGGAGCAAACGGGA